RNAcentral lists this ribosomal RNA (460 nucleotides) under uncultured bacterium. RNAcentral describes it as "partial 16S ribosomal RNA". It matches the Rfam family "Bacterial small subunit ribosomal RNA", at positions 338 to 795 of the family's 1533-position model. The record is from RNAcentral.
CCUACGGGUGGCAGCAGUGAGGAAUAUUGGUCAAUGGACGCAAGUCUGAACCAGCCAUGCCGCGUGCAGGAAGACGGCUCUAUGAGUUGUAAACUGCUUUUGUACGAGGGUAAACGCAGAUACGCGUAUCUGUCUGAAAGUAUCGUACGAAUAAGGAUCGGCUAACUCCGUGCCAGCAGCCGCGGUAAUACGGAGGAUUCAAGCGUUAUCCGGAUUUAUUGGGUUUAAAGGGAGCGUAGGCGGUCGGAUAAGUUAGUGGUGAAAGCUCGAGGCUCAACUUCGGAAUUGCAUCUGAUACUGGUCGGCUAGAGAGUAGUUGCGGUAGGCGGAAUGUAUGGUGUAGCGGUGAAAUGCUUAGAGAUCAUACAGAACACCGAUUGCGAAGGCAGCUUACCAAGCUACUGCUGACGUUGAGGCACGAAAGCGUGGGGAGCAAACAGGAUUAGAUACCCUUGUAGUC